Molecule: ribosomal RNA, 372 nt
Filed under: Triticum aestivum (bread wheat)
Lineage: Eukaryota; Viridiplantae; Streptophyta; Magnoliopsida; Poales; Poaceae
Description: partial small subunit ribosomal RNA
Source: RNAcentral
AUGUUCUAUUACAGGCUAGAUUUUGAUGAUCUAGCUCUGGUCUCCAUUCUUCACAUCUCGUCGUUUAUCGUCGUGUGUGAAGCCUUCCUCUGCAUUACCCCACACUUCGGUUUAUGGCUCAAGACCUUCAAUGUGGAGCCAAAGAUGAUCGACGGGCGUCUCGCGGAGUGUGAGGUGUAUAAUAAGCAAAGGCGCCGACGCCCUAUGGCCAAAGGGUUCCUUCCCGAAGGUGUCCGAUUUAUGGCAACGGGAGUGGUUCUACAUCACCGCUCCUCGAGGCACAAAGUGGGCGGCCGCCCCUGCCUUCCGCUCGGGCCCUCCUCCUCAACUGGCAUCAUGGGUCAACAAGGGACUGGACUGGGGGCCUGCUAA